Chiloscyllium plagiosum (whitespotted bambooshark) is the source of this 2169-nucleotide non-coding RNA. The record is from RefSeq and is a predicted model, not a curated record. NCBI's taxonomy places the organism in Eukaryota, Metazoa, Chordata, Chondrichthyes, Orectolobiformes, Hemiscylliidae.
GCGAAAGGGUGAGGUUGGAUUGCAGAUGCAGCACCAUAUUUCAGGGGUGAAAGACACAAGGCGAGGAAGUCCCGACCCACAGAAUUGCUGGCACCUUUUCAAUUUAAGAAUUCGCAUUCUCUCACGUAGAACCGGGCAAGAUGCAAAUUCAUUUACAAGGAUAAUACCAGAACUGAAGGUCAUUACUACCAGGAAACAGCCUCCAGCUCUCGAUAGAGGACAAAGCUGUGUAGAGCCCGAAUAAAGGUUUCCUUUUACUUUGUGGGAAAAUCCAAAAAAAAACCAUAAAUAUGGUCACUCAGUAAUCAAGGUGAAAAUUCAGAAGUAGCUUCUUUAACUAGGGAGUGGUUAGAACGUGAAGCUUACUAGCAUCGAGUAGUUAAGGGAGAACGGAAUGACAUAUAUUGAUGGGGUUUGGGUGCUUGAAGUGUAAAUGCCAGUUAAAGGUCAGCUGGAUCAAGUGGCCAGUCUUUGUGUUGUAAAUUCUUUGUAACACAUUUAUCUUAAAUUAAGGCAGUAAAUUCAUUCCACUUGUUUUCUCUGGGGGUUUGAACAUGUUACCAAUAUUCACAUAUGUUAACCUGUGCCACCCUCACGUCCUCACUUUAAGUCAGAACAUGGAAUUCUCACUCCCAUUCCAGAGUCUUAUGCAGUUCAUCUAGGCUGGCACUUAUGUGAAGAAUUGAAGGAAUGCUCCAGUGUCUUUUAUUAGACUGCUUAACUCAUGUAAAUAACGUAACCAGCAGAAAUUUCCUCCAAUCAAACAUCAAGGAGAGUGAAGCCACUAUGUGAAGCCAUUGGGACUACACAAUGAGAUGUUGUUCCUUGACUCCCAAUGCCCAGACUGGAUCCAUCGUUGGGAAUUGAGAAGCCAGUGGACCACUGGAAAGGAAGGAGCUGUGCUUCCCUCUGCAGGUGAAAACAUCUCAAACCAGAGCAGGACAAUUAAAAUGUUUGUAGCACAGAACAAUUCGCUGAUGAAUUGGAAGGAACACAACGUCAAAUCUUGGAAGCGUCUCCCUUUUCACCAGAAAAAAGAAAAAUAAACUAAUGAAAAAAAAGUCAUGGUUGUUUUUCGAACUAGAACAUGUUGAUUUUUUUUCUUGGCCCGUAACAGAAUUUGCCAUGUCAGUAAUUGUAAUAAAUACUUUAUGAUCUACAGCCAAUAGGGUUACCAUGGUAUUUUGGAUCAACUAAACAACUCUAAGUUUAGAUUUAUUUUUCAAUUUCACCUUCGCUUGUUGUUCAGAAUCCCAUUUUGCAAAAGCUGGCUGAACAAUCCAGUUUUCCUUUUUUUUUAAACUGAUCCCUGCUAUCUUCAUCCAGAUAUCUAUAAUUCACAACUGUGCUUUCAAGAAAAUAGAAGCUAACCAAAAUAUGCUUUGACAUGAACAGGAAAUUCAUUAAUGCACACUGUAUUUUAGCCACUAAUAUUUAUCGCUUCUCAUUAUAAAAUGAGAUUUCCUGGUUAUUAUAACAUUGGCUGUUUGUGGGACAUGCCUGUGCGCAAAUUGUGCAAUGCUUCUUACAUUGCAACAGUGACUACACAUCAAAACAUUGAUCACAAAGCACUUUGGUCAUGGAAGGUACUAUAUGAAUGCAAACUGUCCUGCACUACAUUUUUCUUCUUAAUUUCAUUUAUUUUAAGCAAGGCAUUUUAACAGAAUGCAUUGUCUGCCAAGAGGAGUAAUUGAUCUGAACAACUUCGACCUGUACACUGGUGUGAUUAUCCAAAGAGACAGUGUAGGCUGAACAGAGGAAACAAUGUAACAAUUCUUUUUCCUUAUUCUUUCAAUAAUCCACCCUUGAAUUGGAAUACUUCCCUGUCAGCCUGCCGCUCCACCUUGGAGCCAGUUCAAUAUUUGAUCAUAUUUAUCUAAGCAAGACAAAACAAGUUUGAUUGAUGGGAGACUUUCAGUUCACUAGUGAACCAAUGUAUUGUCUUCAAUUCUCAUGGUUACAAUUUUAGUUUAGUUACUCCUCAAAAUAAUUUCUAUUCAUGCAUUAUGUGCAUCUCUUUGAUUGAUAACAAAUGUCUUUAGAUUCCUGUAUUAUACCUUGAGCAGUUGAAGGCAAAAUGCCUUUUCCAUUUUAUCAUUAUUUGCAAAGCUCUAAUGUGGUCUGCAUCUAUUUUAAUAAUUUGUUAUUGGGAUUCUGUAUCAUGCUUUA